Long non-coding RNA from Ahaetulla prasina, 2752 nucleotides. RefSeq lists it as uncharacterized. NCBI's taxonomy places the organism in Eukaryota, Metazoa, Chordata, Lepidosauria, Squamata, Colubridae. The transcript has 4 exons. The record is from RefSeq and is a predicted model, not a curated record.
CAGAAAUGUGGUUCUUUUCUCUGGACCAAGCAAAAGUUGUGAUCAAAUCCAUUCAGCUGAAACUUCUGCAAAUGUCUCCCAAGUUCUUUAGGCUUCCGCAGGUCAAAUGGAGUAUCCUGCACUGGCGUGAUCUUUCCUGAUUGGCGAGAGGAGAACAAAUCAAAAGAGGAGUGAGGAUAUGAAGGAACUGAUGUAGCCUGAAAUAUUCAGGUGUAUAAUUAUAAUUAUAAAAACAUGAAAGGACCUGAAACAUAAAAAUCCAGUGACUCUUGGCUUUUCACAGUUGCUAUUGUUAAGACAAUAAUCCCUGCACUAAAUACACUAAUAUGCACUGUGAUUUUAAAAAACAUUAUUCUAUUCUGCCUUAGACAUGAAAGUCAGUUGGGGUGACUAGGCCAGUCACUUUUUCUCAGCCCAAUCUACCUCACAGGGUUGUUGUGGAGAAAAUAGGUUAAGAGACUAGUAUUAUGUAUAUUGAGUUAUUUAUAAAAGUAAUAAAGGCAGCAUAUAAAUAAAUAUCUCUGAGAACAGGCAGGAGUUACCUUGAGCCAAUUAGUUCUUCUAGCUGACUUACAUAGUUUUAAAAAAGCUUGGUGCAAAGUGUCCUACCCUCUUGAUCCAUCACAAUUCUUAAAAUAAUAGCCAAUCAUCCCUAGACAUAGAAAAAAACUAAGAAUUUGCUGGCAGACAGAACUUUCUACAUUAUCAGGACCUGUGUGCAUUUGUCAUGUUAGUUAUGAGAGAAGGCAACCAUUCCUUCUGUUUCUCUAUCUCAAAAAACUCCACUGCUAGAUGUGCUGCUGGAAAAUUAGCAUGCUAUGGCUACUAGAAGCUUUGCGCAGUAGUUCUCACCAAGUUUAGGUUACUGUGGGUGAGAGGAGGAAAAAGAGAAAAUUUACCUGCUUAAAUCCAGAGACUAGACAGUUCAGCGAGGCAAAAAUGUACUACACAGUUCUUACAAAAGCAGUAAAAAUCAAGAACGGCCGAUUGUUUUAAAACAUGUUGAUGAAGAUUCUCAGCCAUUCAGGUAGAAUUGUCUGGAAGCUGAAUCAUGGCAACUGGAUUUAUUUUCUUGUUAGUUUGAAAUGCUUCACUGAUGCUUCACUGCUUAUCCGAGUAGUUUCUUCAGUUUGAGCAAGUUGGUUAGUUGGAACAAACCUACCGGUAUAUGAGCUUAUUCCCCCUAAACAAAUUCCUCAGACUGAAGAAGAUACUUAGAUAAGCAGCAAAACUUUAAAAAAAUAAUAAUAAGUCUAGUCAUCAUAAUUCAAUUUCCAGACAUGUAUUUGGAAACUAACCAGAAUCUGAGUGAGAAGGAUUAAGUUGCCAAUAAAAUUGCCUGCUUUCCUUAAACAUACUUCAGGUGGAACAGAUGUUGAGUUAGGGCUUGCUUCACUUAAGAGAUGGGAAGCAAGAUAAAGCAAGAGCAAAGCCCAUGUGGAAAUAAACUAUACAUAAACGUCCACAUUGUAAAAAAGAGCUUUGUUUAUUUUACAAAAAUCUUGGUUCAACCCUUAAAACAAGAUUCUGUCAGAGGAAUGGGAAGUCCUGAUCCAACAGCACAGCUACCUCUUUUGAAAACUGAAAAGAGUAGAUACUGCAAAUGGACCUAAAUCUCGGUCCUUAGAACAAUAUAUUCCAAAGUAUGAAUGGUGGACAAAUAAAAAAUCAGUAAUGCCAAUGUUUCCAAUUAAAAAUUUUUUAAAUAGGUCUGAGAUCCCAGAGACCCAUUGCAAAUCAUGUUCACUGGCAUAAAUGUACCAUAAUCUGUACUGGCAUAAAACAAGUUUCUAUGUUCAGUAUGAUUCUAAGAGCAAUUGUCAACUACUGUAUAUUGUACAUUGUGGCCUUCUUUCAAAAUACCAUUGCACCUGUUGUCAGGUUUACUUUUAUAAUGAACUGAACUACUAGCAUCAUGUCCAACCUGAUACCCCUAUGUUAGAUUAUCCUCCCCAUUGGGCUUCAAAGGAGUUAGUUUCCCUAAUGUACACUAUGUGGGGAAACAGAGACAACCAGCAUAGUCAUUCUGAGUAUUAAGAUAUAGAAAUGGCAAGCUGAGAAUCUGUAAGAGGUGUGUAAACAAACAAACCUCACAUCUGGAUGUAAAUUACAAAGCAUGGGCUCAGGCUAUGUGUUCUAAUUUCUGCAAUGUUGCAAUAAAUUUGAUAGUCAUUACCUCAACAAUUUCCCUAUAAUUCCAGUUUGGUGUAAUAUAUAACCUGUUAAAUGGUAAUUUGGAAACAGGAUUUUAAAUUUAUAACAAGCCCAAUAUUUUUCUCCCUAGAAUACAGCUUCACCUUCAAAGACACCCAGAUUAACCAACCUGUUGGAAUCAAAGUUUCGUCCAGUGGCAAGUAACAAUCUGCCUCUAUGACAAUGAAAUAGUAUCUAAAAGAUGAAGUCUUGCCCCAUCAGAGGGAAGAUUCUGAGCCAAUGGACAAAUCCAGUUGGUGAAGAAGGCAAUUUUCUAAACAUAAAGACUGAUUCCAGUGGUGUUCAGGGAAGAGGAGAAAUCGCUCCAUAGGCCCAUUCUUUAUGGGAUACUACAGGGUUGUAUUCUGCCUCCUCACCUUUUCAACAGAUACCUGAAACUGCUAGAUGAGGACAUUUGCUGGUUUGGGUCUUCAAGGAGGUGAUUAUGCAGCCUAAGGAUAUGAUUUCCACUUUGACUGUGUCGGAUGAGAGCAGGAAUUUUUCCACGGUUCCUCCGUCAAGAGGCAAUUUACCAAAGGCUUCUUUCUUCACCUCAAGC